This 556-nucleotide long non-coding RNA is filed under the name Pan troglodytes (chimpanzee). Its description in RNAcentral is "long non-coding RNA NONPTRT000568". The record is from RNAcentral. Lineage: Eukaryota; Metazoa; Chordata; Mammalia; Primates; Hominidae.
AUGACUUGUGAUUUCAUCCAAACUGAUUUGCUUGUUCCUACCACAGUGUUUCUCUGGAUCUUUUCAAACCUCUGCAAAGAGUUUAUCCACAUGAUACUCAUUAAAGUCUCAUUUGAAAGGAUAAAGAAAAAAAAAAAAAGCCCAAAGCUUUUUGAAAAAGGCAGGGUUAUCUGAGCUGCAAAUGUACUGAUCAUUUCAUACAUUGUAAUGACAAUAAGUCAUUUUGAAGCCUGAAGUUUCACGACUGGAAUUCUGAUUUGAGCUUUGCAAGUCCUUGAGGUCCACUCUGCUGCAGCGAUGUGUUGGGAGCAACAUGGAUGCCGGAAUUUUGGAAAAAGUCAAAAGACUGGUCACAGGGUGAUUAUAAGAAAACUGUAUACUAGACCCAGUGAGAGAUCUGUUCAUUCCAAAUCCUCUGUCUUAUACUCCUGGUCUUUCAUUAACAAAGAGAUUAGUAUUUGCUAUAAUUUUCUGAUCCUAAACAAUUUCAGUAAGGUCCUCUCUAUGGCUCUUGCCUUAUAAAAUGAACGGAAAAAAGAAUUGAAAAUGACUAAAU